CGAGUGAGCGGCAAAGCUCAAUUUGAAUCUGGCUCUUUCAGAGUCCGAGUUGUAAUUUGAAGAAGGUAUCUUUGGGUCUGGCUCUUGUCUAUGUUUCUUGGAACAGAACGUCACAGAGGGUGAGAAUCCCGUGCGAUGAGAUGAUCCAGGCCUAUGUAAAGUUCCUUCGAAGAGUCGAGUUGUU
RNAcentral lists this ribosomal RNA (184 nucleotides) under uncultured Candida. RNAcentral describes it as "partial 26S ribosomal RNA". It matches the Rfam family "Eukaryotic large subunit ribosomal RNA", at positions 90 to 274 of the family's 3401-position model. Lineage: Eukaryota; Fungi; Ascomycota; Saccharomycetes; Saccharomycetales. The record is from RNAcentral.